CCGGCGCACGGGUGCGUAACGCGUAUGCAAUCUACCUUUUACAGAGGGAUAGCCCAGAGAAAUUUGGAUUAAUACCUCAUAGUAUUAUGAAAUGGCAUCAUUUUAUAAUUAAAGUCACAACGGUAAAAGAUGAGCAUGCGUCCCAUUAGCUAGUUGGUAAGGUAACGGCUUACCAAGGCUACGAUGGGUAGGGGUCCUGAGAGGGAGAUCCCCCACACUGGUACUGAGACACGGACCAGACUCCUACGGGAGGCAGCAGUGAGGAAUAUUGGACAAUGGGCGCAAGCCUGAUCCAGCCAUGCCGCGUGCAGGAUGACGGUCCUAUGGAUUGUAAACUGCUUUUAUACGAGAAGAAACACUCCUUCGUGAAGGAGCUUGACGGUAUCGUAAGAAUAAGGAUCGGCUAACUCCGUGCCAGCAGCCGCGGUAAUACGGAGGAUCCAAGCGUUAUCCGGAAUCAUUGGGUUUAAAGGGUCCGUAGGCGGUUUGGUAAGUCAGUGGUGAAAGCCCAUCGCUCAACGGUGGAACGGCCAUUGAUACUGCCAGACUUGAAUUAUUAGGAAGUAACUAGAAUAUGUAGUGUAGCGGUGAAAUGCUUAGAGAUUACAUGGAAUACCAAUUGCGAAGGCAGGUUACUACUAAUGGAUUGACGCUGAUGGACGAAAGCGUGGGUAGCGAACAGGAUUAGAUACCCUGGUAGUCCACGCCGUAAACGAUGGAUACUAGCUGUUGGGAGCAAUCUCAGUGGCUAAGCGAAAGUGAUAAGUAUCCCACCUGGGGAGUACGUUCGC
RNAcentral lists this ribosomal RNA (791 nucleotides) under Flavobacteriaceae bacterium. RNAcentral's name for it is "bacterial SSU rRNA". It matches the Rfam family "Bacterial small subunit ribosomal RNA", at positions 95 to 889 of the family's 1533-position model. The record is from RNAcentral. Lineage: Bacteria; Pseudomonadati; Bacteroidota; Flavobacteriia; Flavobacteriales; Flavobacteriaceae.